GAGUGAGGGGGUGACUAGUGGCAGAGUGAGGGAAGGAAGGGGUGACUAGUGACAGAGUGAGGGAGGUGGUGACUGUCACUAGUCACCACCUCCCUCACUCUGUCACUAGUCACCACCUCCCUCACUCUGUCACUACUCCCUCCCUCCUUCUGUCACUAGUCAUCCCCUCCAUCCCUUACUCUGUCACUAGUCACCCCCUCCCUC
Non-coding RNA from Pelobates cultripes (western spadefoot toad), 204 nucleotides. The record is from the annotation of a GenBank genome assembly. NCBI's taxonomy places the organism in Eukaryota, Metazoa, Chordata, Amphibia, Anura, Pelobatidae.